Molecule: ribosomal RNA, 759 nt
Filed under: Bacillus cereus
Lineage: Bacteria; Bacillati; Bacillota; Bacilli; Caryophanales; Bacillaceae
Description: bacterial SSU rRNA
Rfam family: Bacterial small subunit ribosomal RNA
Source: RNAcentral
GGGGGGCUAUACAUGCAGUCGAGCGAAUGAAUUAAGAGCUUGCUCUUAUGAAGUUAGCGGCGGACGGGUGAGUAACACGUGGGUAACCUGCCCAUAAGACUGGGAUAACUCCGGGAAACCGGGGCUAAUACCGGAUAACAUUUUGAACUGCAUGGUUCGAAAUUGAAAGGCGGCUUCGGCUGUCACUUAUGGAUGGACCCGCGUCGCAUUAGCUAGUUGGUGAGGUAACGGCUCACCAAGGCAACGAUGCGUAGCCGACCUGAGAGGGUGAUCGGCCACACUGGGACUGAGACACGGCCCAGACUCCUACGGGAGGCAGCAGUAGGGAAUCUUCCGCAAUGGACGAAAGUCUGACGGAGCAACGCCGCGUGAGUGAUGAAGGCUUUCGGGUCGUAAAACUCUGUUGUUAGGGAAGAACAAGUGCUAGUUGAAUAAGCUGGCACCUUGACGGUACCUAACCAGAAAGCCACGGCUAACUACGUGCCAGCAGCCGCGGUAAUACGUAGGUGGCAAGCGUUAUCCGGAAUUAUUGGGCGUAAAGCGCGCGCAGGUGGUUUCUUAAGUCUGAUGUGAAAGCCCACGGCUCAACCGUGGAGGGUCAUUGGAAACUGGGAGACUUGAGUGCAGAAGAGGAAAGUGGAAUUCCAUGUGUAGCGGUGAAAUGCGUAGAGAUAUGGAGGAACACCAGUGGCGAAGGCGACUUUCUGGUCUGUAACUGACACUGAGGCGCGAAAGCGUGGGGAGCAAACAGGAUUAAAG